This 47-nucleotide ribosomal RNA is filed under the name Metarhizium cylindrosporum. RNAcentral describes it as "partial 28S ribosomal RNA". Lineage: Eukaryota; Fungi; Ascomycota; Sordariomycetes; Hypocreales; Clavicipitaceae. The record is from RNAcentral. RNAcentral also lists the same sequence under 1 other name.
GACCUCGAAUCAGGUAGGAAUACCCGCUGAACUUAAGCAUAUCAAUA